GAGUUUGAUCAUGGCUCAGAUUGAACGCUGGCGGCAGGCCUAACACAUGCAAGUCGAGCGGAUGACAGGAGCUUGCUCCUUGAUUCAGCGGCGGACGGGUGAGUAAUGCCUAGGAAUCUGCCUGGUAGUGGGGGACAACGUUUCGAAAGGAACGCUAAUACCGCAUACGUCCUACGGGAGAAAGCAGGGGACCUUCGGGCCUUGCGCUAUCAGAUGAGCCUAGGUCGGAUUAGCUAGUUGGUGGGGUAAUGGCUCACCAAGGCGACGAUCCGUAACUGGUCUGAGAGGAUGAUCAGUCACACUGGAACUGAGACACGGUCCAGACUCCUACGGGAGGCAGCAGUGGGGAAUAUUGGACAAUGGGCGAAAGCCUGAUCCAGCCAUGCCGCGUGUGUGAAGAAGGUCUUCGGAUUGUAAAGCACUUUAAGUUGGGAGGAAGGGCAGUAAGCUAAUACCUUGCUGUUUUGACGUUACCGACAGAAUAAGCACCGGCUAACUCUGUGCCAGCAGCCGCGGUAAUACAGAGGGUGCAAGCGUUAAUCGGAAUUACUGGGCGUAAAGCGCGCGUAG
RNAcentral lists this ribosomal RNA (570 nucleotides) under uncultured organism. RNAcentral describes it as "bacterial SSU rRNA". It matches the Rfam family "Bacterial small subunit ribosomal RNA", at positions 9 to 574 of the family's 1533-position model. The record is from RNAcentral.